Molecule: long non-coding RNA, 705 nt
Organism: Oenanthe melanoleuca
Lineage: Eukaryota; Metazoa; Chordata; Aves; Passeriformes; Muscicapidae
Exons: 4
Source: RefSeq, a predicted model, not a curated record
GGGAACUCUUUGGUGCAUUCUUGGGAUUUCUGAAUGAAGACAUCAUCUGAGCCCUUACUGCUCUUCAUUCAGAGACUUUUACAUGGCAGUGGAAAUCAAGUAUCCUGCACAUGGACUACACCCUGAUUUCACCCUGAAUGGGGGUACCGAAUCAGGAACUGUUUGGAACUGAUGUGUCCCUCACUUACCAAAUUUCUCAGGACAGACAGUAGCUGCCAUCAGAGCUUUUCUGGAGCUUAUUCAAAUGGAAAAUAUCAGCCUUGGAGAAAGCCAGCUCUCCCAGCAGCUUCCAGGCCAGCGUGGGCAGCAGGGAAACAGAGGUUUCUGUGCAACUUUUGGCUGUCAAGAUCUCGACCACCACUGCACUAUUAAGACUGGGAGCCAUUGUAGUCACUUUUCCCUGCAGCAUAAGAACCUUUGGGAGAUGCUACUGUCUCAAGAACUGGUGACUUAAUUCAGCACAAUGAAGAAAUCCCUCUGUAUACUAGAAGAUAUCAAUAACAGACUAAACCCCAGGCUAUUCAGUUAUUUAAAUAAUCAGACUCUCUAUUUGGUACUAAUGUAUAGGGGAAAAGAAGGAAGCAACCUGAGAGAUUUAGGAAGUAUUAGGAAGAAAAAAGGAAAAAAAGAGAACAACUUCUGCACUGUGAGACACAUGCCAGUGGAACAUGGAUGACUGUACAAAAUGGAUGGAAAUACACUUUU